GUACACUCCUACGGGAGGCAGCAGUGGGGAAUAUUGCACAAUGGGCGCAAGCCUGAUGCAGCCAUGCCGCGUGUAUGAAGAAGGCCUUCGGGUUGUAAAGUACUUUCAGCGGGGAGGAAGGCGAUAAGGUUAAUAACCUUGUUGAUUGACGUUACCCGCAGAAGAAGCACCGGCUAACUCCGUGCCAGCAGCCGCGGUAAUACGGAGGGUGCAAGCGUUAAUCGGAAUUACUGGGCGUAAAGCGCACGCAGGCGGUCUGUCAAGUCGGAUGUGAAAUCCCCGGGCUCAACCUGGGAACUGCAUUCGAAACUGGCAGGCUAGAGUCUUGUAGAGGGGGGUAGAAUUCCAGGUGUAGCGGUGAAAUGCGUAGAGAUCUGGAGGAAUACCGGUGGCGAAGGCGGCCCCCUGGACAAAGACUGACGCUCAGGUGCGAAAGCGUGGGGAGCAAACAGGAUUAGAAACCCGUGUAGUCCCAUGAU
Molecule: ribosomal RNA, 479 nt
Filed under: uncultured organism
Description: partial 16S ribosomal RNA
Rfam family: Bacterial small subunit ribosomal RNA
Source: RNAcentral